AUGUGAUCCAUGAAGACUUGCCUUCCACCACACCAGAUGUAGAGGAUUCAAGUCGGAGCCCAGAUCAGGAACCCCAGACACCUCCUCCUGAAGGACUCCUACCUAGACCCCCUGGUGACGGCGGAAACCAAGAUCAUGGUCCUCAGCAGAGACCACCCCGACCAGCAGGCCAUCACCACCAUCCUCCCCCACCUCCUUUUCAAAAUCAUCAAGGACCAGGAGGCCUUCACCACUUUCUACCCCUACCUCCUCUUGUAAGGCCACAGGGAGUGCCACCAUUAUUCCCAGGGGACAGACCAAGAAGACCUCCCCGGUACCAGCCACUCUGGUAAUCUAGAAUUCAAUGACAGAAAAUAAGAAGACAACUUCCUUCAGAAAGCCAUGACAUUGAAAUAGUGCAGUCACAACCCCUUUCUUCAGUAUACCAAUAAAAUAUUAAUAGCAUGCAA
Saimiri boliviensis boliviensis (Bolivian squirrel monkey) is the source of this 449-nucleotide non-coding RNA. NCBI's taxonomy places the organism in Eukaryota, Metazoa, Chordata, Mammalia, Primates, Cebidae. The record is from RefSeq and is a predicted model, not a curated record.